This 253-nucleotide ribosomal RNA is filed under the name uncultured bacterium. RNAcentral's name for it is "partial 16S ribosomal RNA". It matches the Rfam family "Bacterial small subunit ribosomal RNA", at positions 524 to 776 of the family's 1533-position model. The record is from RNAcentral.
UACGUAGGGUGCGAGCGUUAAUCGGAAUUACUGGGCGUAAAGCGUGCGCGGGCGGUUUUGUAAGCCAGAUGUGAAAUCCCCAGGCUUAACCUGGGAACUGCGUCGGAUACUGGAUGGCUUGAAUUCGGGAGAGGGAUGCAGAAUUCCAGGUGUAGCGGUGAAAUGCGUAGAUAUCUGGAGGAAUACCGGUGGCGAAGGCGGCAUCCUGGACCGACAUUGACGCUGAGGAGCGAAAGCUAGGGGAGCAAACGGG